AUUGAACGCUGGCGGCAUGCCUUACACAUGCAAGUCGAACGGCAGCACGGGAGCUUGCUCCUGGUGGCGAGUGGCGAACGGGUGAGUAAUACAUCGGAACGUACCCUGAAGUGGGGGAUAACGUAGCGAAAGUUACGCUAAUACCGCAUAUUCUGUGAGCAGGAAAGAGGGGGAUCGCAAGACCUCUUGUUUUAGGAGCGGCCGAUGUCGGAUUAGCUAGUUGGUGAGGUAAAGGCUCACCAAGGCGACGAUCCGUAGCGGGUCUGAGAGGAUGAUCCGCCACACUGGGACUGAGACACGGCCCAGACUCCUACGGGAGGCAGCAGUGGGGAAUUUUGGGACAAUGGCGCAAGCCUGAUCCAGCCAUGCCGCGUGAGUGAAGAAGGCC
This 388-nucleotide ribosomal RNA is filed under the name uncultured bacterium. RNAcentral's name for it is "bacterial SSU rRNA". It matches the Rfam family "Bacterial small subunit ribosomal RNA", at positions 30 to 416 of the family's 1533-position model. The record is from RNAcentral.